UACAGAGGUCUCAAGCGUUGUCCGGAAUCAUUGGGCGUAAAGGGCGCGUAGGUGGCCCGGUCAGUUCGUGGUGAAAGCGCGGGGCUCAACCCUGCGUCGGCCAUGAAUACUGCCGCGGCUGGAGCACUGUAGAGGCAGGCGGAAUUCCGGGUGUAGCGGUGGAAUGCGUAGAGAUCCGGAAGAACACCGGUGGCGAAGGCGGCCUGCUGGGCAGUUGCUGACACUGAGGCGCGACAGCGUGGGGAGCAAACAGG
RNAcentral lists this ribosomal RNA (254 nucleotides) under uncultured bacterium. Its description in RNAcentral is "partial 16S ribosomal RNA". It matches the Rfam family "Bacterial small subunit ribosomal RNA", at positions 524 to 776 of the family's 1533-position model. The record is from RNAcentral.